CACGUAGGGUGCGAGCGUUGUCCGGAAUUAUUGGGCGUAAAGAGCUCGUAGGCGGUGUGUCGCGUCGGCCGUGAAAACCUGCAGCUUAACUGUGGGCUUGCGGUCGAUACGGGCAUCACUGGAGUUCGGCAGGGGAGACUGGAAUUCCUGGUGUAGCUGUGAAAUGCGCAGAUAUCAGGAGGAACACCGGUGGCGAAGGCGGGUCUCUGGGCCGAUACUGACGCUGAGGAGCGAAAGCGUGGGGAGCGAACAGG
RNAcentral lists this ribosomal RNA (254 nucleotides) under uncultured bacterium. RNAcentral describes it as "partial 16S ribosomal RNA". It matches the Rfam family "Bacterial small subunit ribosomal RNA", at positions 524 to 776 of the family's 1533-position model. The record is from RNAcentral.